GACGAACGCUGGCGGCGUGCUUAACACAUGCAAGUCGAACGGAAAGGCCCUGCUUUUGUGGGGUGCUCGAGUGGCGAACGGGUGAGUAACACGUGAGUAACCUGCCCUUGACUUUGGGAUAACUUCAGGAAACUGGGGCUAAUACCGGAUAGGAGCUCCUGCUGCAUGGUGGGGGUUGGAAAGUUUCGGCGGUUGGGGAUGGACUCGCGGCUUAUCAGCUUGUUGGUGGGGUAGUGGCUUACCAAGGCUUUGACGGGUAGCCGGCCUGAGAGGGUGACCGGCCACAUUGGGACUGAGAUACGGCCCAGACUCCUACGGGAGGCAGCAGUGGGGAAUAUUGCACAAUGGGAGGAAGCCUGAUGCAGCAACGCCGCGUGCGGGAUGACGGCCUUCGGGUUGUAAACCGCUUUCGCCUGUGACGAAGCGUGAGUGAGGGUAAUGGGUAAAGAAGCACCGGCUAACUACGUG
RNAcentral lists this ribosomal RNA (468 nucleotides) under uncultured bacterium. RNAcentral's name for it is "partial 16S ribosomal RNA". It matches the Rfam family "Bacterial small subunit ribosomal RNA", at positions 28 to 507 of the family's 1533-position model. The record is from RNAcentral.